RNAcentral lists this ribosomal RNA (429 nucleotides) under uncultured bacterium. RNAcentral describes it as "bacterial SSU rRNA". It matches the Rfam family "Bacterial small subunit ribosomal RNA", at positions 32 to 507 of the family's 1533-position model. The record is from RNAcentral.
AACGCUGGCGGCAUGCCUAACACAUGCAAGUCGAACGAGACCUUCGGGUCUAGUGGCGCACGGGUGCGUAACGCGUGGGAACCUGCCUUUAGGUUCGGAAUAACUCAGAGAAAUUUGAGCUAAUACCGGAUAAUGUCUUCGGACCAAAGAUUUAUCGCCUUUAGAUGGGCCCGCGUUGGAUUAGCUAGUUGGUGGGGUAAAGGCCUACCAAGGCGACGAUCCAUAGCUGGUCUGAGAGGAUGAUCAGCCACACUGGGACUGAGACACGGCCCAGACUCCUACGGGAGGCAGCAGUGGGGAAUAUUGGACAAUGGGCGAAAGCCUGAUCCAGCAAUGCCGCGUGAGUGAUGAAGGCCUUAGGGUUGUAAAGCUCUUUUACCCGAGAUGAUAAUGACAGUAUCGGGAGAAUAAGCUCCGGCUAACUCCGUG